Orbicella faveolata is the source of this 1830-nucleotide long non-coding RNA. NCBI's taxonomy places the organism in Eukaryota, Metazoa, Cnidaria, Anthozoa, Scleractinia, Merulinidae. The record is from RefSeq and is a predicted model, not a curated record.
AGCAGUGUUUUACUUUCCCCAUCAAAAAAUAAAACAAAAAUGAACAAGUUACUAACUUUAAGGCAAGUGCCUCAGUUUGCCUCAUAUUGGCUUCAAACCUGCGUGGAUUGCCUCCGUCUGUUGAAAUUAACACUAUUAGUUUUGCUUUAUGCUCUCAGCCCUGGUUAUUCAUGAUAGUGAUACUGAUAUUCCCAUCAUUGCAAGUACUGUUUUGAACUUGAUUUGUAGAAAUACCUUUUUAAAUGAAACAUACUCAACUGACAUUACACUUGCUGUGCACAGCACAUUCAACUUUUGAGAGAUUGUCAACUUAGUUUUUACCUGUAUCACGCUUGUAACUCUUUUAAUGUGCAGUUCCAGAAAAUAUCCAUGCCCACCCCGAGGAAUGUUAAGUGAUAACACAAAUAAGAAGGGAGAGGGGAGCUUUCAAAAGCCAAAAUUUUUAAAGGACAUUAUGAAGCUAAACUGGAAUUUUCAGGGCCUGGGGGGGCUCAAACUAGAAAACCUUCUGUGGGAGGAGCAUGAAUAUUUUCUGAAACAACCCAAUUUAGGAAGUUUUGAAUAUAGUGUUUGGGCAUACACAUAGCUGGGACCACGACAAAGAGCAUAUAAGGGCUGUCCACUGCUACAAGGUGGCUCUUUGCAAAGGUUUGACUGUACAUGUUCUUUGAAGUGACAAUAACUCUUCAGCUGAGCCUUUUAGAACAAAGUUAUUUGUUUUCUGUUCAACUUCAAACGAUGCGGAGGGAUCAAAGCAGUUGAAGUACAAAUGCAAUACCACAAAAACACUGGAAAUGUCCAGGGUUUUCCUGGUGGAAAAGGAAAAGGAAAAAGAAAAAGAACAGAUACCUGGUCCUUCAAGUGGUGCAGAUACACAACAAGAAACUACAGAUUCAGAAGGAUAACAAGAUCAGGAGAAAUCUGUUUGUUGUGUUGUUAAUUUGAGAGACCAUGACCUCUGGAUUGCUGUUCAGCGGAUUGUGCAGUCCAACUUGCAAAGAACUGUUUGAUCUAAACUGAGGCGCCACAGUUAGAAAUUACUGUAAGAGAAGUACAAUUUUUGUUUUGCUUGAUAUUGAACAGCAAGAAGGACGCAGGAAUUGAAAAAAAAUGCCAUCCAGUCAUCCGGGACAAGUAGAUUUUCCUAGACUGGGCAAGUAACUUUUCAUUUUCUUGGGCAAGGGUCUUAGCAACUCGUCUGCCAACUAAAUGAAAGAAGUUAGCACAGUUUGACUCUACAAAGGAGUGAAAGGUGAUCAGAGUGAUAUCGUUAACUUGUUCCAGGACUAAGACCUGUUUGACUUUUAUUGUGAAGUGUAAGCAAAAAUAGAUCAAUGACAUUGCCAUUUUACAGUUGUGUGAUCUUAAGAACAUUUAAUACAACUGCUUACAAUAUCACUUAUUCAAUACAUUGUCAGGCAGACAAGUACAGCUGUAAUAAGAUCAUCAACUAGGGAUAAUGUCUAGAUGUUCCAUUACUGAAUUCUCAAGAUUAGUAUUAGAAGAAAUGUAUGGAAAUCUGUUAGGAGAAUUGAUAUUUCACCUCAUGAUUCCAAGCACACAUUUUUUGUUCUUAAAACAUUUUUGAGUUAGUAUACUUUCAAUAUGAUUACAGCAUUAGAGGUAAAAUUACAUUGGCGUAACUAGCCCUCAUAGCAUUAUUGUUAAUAUAUUAAUCUAUUUUUGGAUAAAAAAGAAUAUCUGAACUGUUAAAAUAAUUUAGCAUACAGUAUUACAUGUACCACCCACUUAUAGUACACCACAUUGGACUACAUCAUUUAGAAACAAAGACAAAUACUUUUAGUGAAUAAGAAAACUUGAUUAAAAAAA